GUUUUUUUUUGUUUGUUUUUCUGAUCUAUUCUGGAAUGAUACACCACAGAGGAGCACUGACUGCCUUGUAUCUUUAAGUUUUGCUUCUGAGAGUAAUUUGUUCUGUAGUUUAUCACUUGUCUGCUCGAGUUUGUUUGGAACUUCCAUAAUGCUAAAUAGGACAACUGUUCUGUGUGAAGAGGAGGUGAGCACAACAGAAGACUUUUGUCUUCGGUUUUAACAACAAAACUGAAAGUUCCUCUGGCAAAAUGGCAAUUCAUUGUUAAUUCAUGAGAUGUAGGUGCCCUGGAAAAAUCAAAUACCAGUUUCGUAGCUACCCUUAGGCAUCUCUAAUUUAUGCAAGCAGGGCUCGUUGAGUAACUACUGAGUCUCGUUGACCUUAGUAGGUUUGCAGAGGUCAUAUUUUAAGACAGAUAAGUUAUGCUUGAACUAUUUUCUCAGUAAGUACUAGGAGCAAGUGUUUGUGUACAUAAUUACGUGCUUUUUUCCAAUCCUCCAUUACAUUUUCUGUUUUUCUUUAGAUUCUUGCUUGUAAGUACUACAGUAAAUCCCAGAGUCUCUUUUGUUUGUGUUUUUUUCUUAAUCUGUCAUCUUAAUAUUAGUAAGAAACGUGAGUUUUUGAGGACAGCUUCUUUUUGGGGGUCUCAGUAAAGUGGUAGAAACAGAGGUUUCACAGACUGCCAGAAAGGCAGCUGUAUGAUCAGGGGAACUCAGGGUGUGGGAAGCCAGAACAACCCAAACGUGUGUGAGUGACAUCAGCAUUUUUCUGAGCCGUUUAUGCUGCUCACUUCUGUCGGUUCCCAGCAGUGCCUGUGUCUUAUGUAAGCUCACACUGUACAUCCUGUCCUGCUGUUCUCAUGCAUGAAAAUCAUUGGCGUUAUCUUACUGUACAUUUUGAGAGCUGAGCAGUUGCUGGCUACUUGUUGUCUCAAAUGUCUGCAUGCAAGUCUCUCACAAGCGUGCUGGAGAGAGCUAUGCCAAGAGCAUGGUGCUGUCCUCCUAGGAGACAUCAGAGGGAUAACUUGGAGUGAACGCAGCUCGUCCUCUGCUCUUUCUUAUAAUAGGCACUAUGAAGUAAUGCAGCUACAGAAGUAAUUGUACUGCUAUAGACAGAAGUCCUGAUCUGUAUCACGCGCAGAUGGACCACUAAUGCAGUUUCGAUGGCUGGUGAUAAAACAGACAUAGAAAACAAAGAACGGUGGUUUCAGCAGAAGCUUUAAUAACGUUAGGACUGGAAAAGAGAGGCUUUUAUAUACUCUUACUGUGCACUGCUUGUUACAGGUCUUGGAAGGAAACUGUGCCUUCAGGUGAACUGAUGCUUUACCCUUGUUCCUGUAGUUAGCAUUUAGUGAUGCAUAAUAAUGAAGGCACUGUCACUGGAUGGGUGAAAUUGGAGCAAAUCUUCAGAAACAAAUAUUCCCUCUAUUUUUUUUUUCUUGCUAAAUCUAUCUGUAAUCAUCAGUCAUAAAAUCCUGCAGUAAUGUGAUAUCUGUUAAUGCAGAGUAAGUUGGCCGCCUUCUUUAAAUGCUGCCCAGUGCUUCAGUUAUGAAGCAAAGCUACCUCUACUUCUUAAAUACUCUUGUGUCUUCUGUUUGUGCUCCUCCAGUAUGAAGGAAACAAGUUUCUGCUCCUCUGCUCUGGUGAAUGCACUUGUGUGGCACUGUGGCUUGUUUUGGGGGAGCUGCAUUUGUAGGUCUGUAGAGUUUGUUACAAGCACUGAUGGGAAAGGCUGACAGGCAGGAGAAAUGUACCUGAGUAGAAGUGCAUUUGUGGAAAGGCCUUGAAAGAUUCCUUCAUUCCUUCCUUCGGGCUUUCCAGUGUGAUCUUCCGUGCUGCAUGAAACAAUUCCUCAUUGUGCUGGAGUGUAAGACUUAACAAGGGAACUGGCCAUUUGAAGAGGAACAGGUGCAAUGCUCUGAUGCUCAGAAGCUAAACAAAUUCCUGAGUGAGCAGAUCUUGCAGAGUUUAAGAAAAUUUAUUGGCAAAACAUCUAAGAAGCACUUGAGUUUUCGUUUUGAGUAGGGAAUUGAAUGAUCUGUGCUGCCUUUAUCACAAAUCUAGGAGUGCAGUGGCUCUUUAGUGCUUUUUGUUACUUUUUUGAGGAUAUGAAAAUAUAUUUUAAAAGCAUAUGCAGGAAGAUGGACUUGCAGCAGCCAUAAAAACUUGUAAGAAAGCACCUGCACGUUGUGCAUCUGGGAUUCCGUGGCAUUAUAUUUUAUUGCUCUGUGGAUACUUACGUGACUAUCAGAAUGCAUAUCUAUGUUGUCCAUAUUCAAUAGCCUUUUCAUUUUGUUCAUGUGGACAGAAUCUAUUCAGGAUGCUUAAAUCUGCUAAAAUAUUUAUAAGAAAGUUGGCCCUUGGAGCAUGUUUCCCACAGGAUGCAGUGGGUGUCAGGGCUAAAGGUCAGUGCAGACAAAGUAAAGUGAAGGCUCUUUUGGAUUUAUUUUCCUUCUUUUUUCUUUCUUUUUUCUUUUGAAAGAAAAUUCUCUCUGUAAAGAAGCAUGGAACUUUUCUUUGCAACUUCCUAAGUUUCCAUAUACUAAGAAGAGGGAAUGGACCUGUAAAUACUUAAGUCUUUUAUUGAAACUUUUCUCCCUUUCUUUAGGAGAGCAGAAAAGAAAAAAUAAAAGCGACAACCCCAAAUCAGUGCAGUUAAUAUAUUCAUGGACUCUGAGCAUGGAAGUUCCUGGUGUAAAUGAAAAAAGCCAGAUGGAGUUUUAAGUGACUGUCAUGUACAACUUAAGAAAUGCACAUUCCUGAUACUAAUAAAAGGGCCAGAUUGGAGCUACAUAAUUAAUCCCAGUGUCCUUUUCAACACAUGAUAAGAUUUGGCUACAGCAGUCGUAGAGCUAAUGGAGACAACUGUCAGGUUGUACAAAGCAGUGGAUUGUUUGCCUAAAAUAAAAAUACCUACGUGAUUAUUCUUGUACAUAUAUUUGUAUCUGCUGGUGAUCAGUACUCAUGUCCCAGUUCAAACGGAAGAUAAAGGGAGCUGAUUUGCUCUUGAAUCUCCUUUUUGUCUUAAGUAUCUAUAUAAAUAUAUAUGUGGGAUAUGUCUGUAAAUAAAUUAUCCCUAUUAAAUAUAUAUUUAAGAUGGGAAGUAAAUGUUUUUUGUUAUUUUCUUUAGGAAUUAGAUAGCAGAACUUGCUCUCCUUUGGAGUUCAUUUGAAAUGUAUUGACUGAUGAAUGCCAAGGAGCAGUUCUGCAGUUAUGUUUAUUCACUGUUUGUAUCAGUGACCUGGAAGAAGUGUGCAGGAAGGGGCUAAAGCAAAAACGCUUCUGAGAUGGCACAAAGUGUGUGUUGGAGGCAGACAGGAGGAAGAGUGGGCAGAUGGCAGUCAGAACAAAACAGGUGAAUAAUCAGAUUGGGAACAAGCUGAGUAGACUGUGCAAGCAUGUGUGGUAUUUGCAAUUUUGGUUUAGUUACUGUGAUAGGGAUUUAAUUAUUUUAUGAUCUAUGCAAAAGAACGGUAAAAAAAACGUAAGCUUGCCCCAUAUGCAAUGAUGGAAGUGUGCUUACUGUUGUCUGAGGGGGCAUUUGGGAGAAACAGAAAGGUCAGAGCCUUUGGGGCUGAGGGAACUUGAGGAAAAAGAAAAGAAAACAAAAACCACUUGUUUGGUGCUAUCUCACCUGCAAGUUUAUUCAGGUUGUUUUGUUGUUUGUAGCAUGAGAUGGUAUUAAUGCUCUAAAACCUUACUGCGUGGAUGAUACAGAUAUUCUGUGUCAUGAGAGAUUUUGCUGAAAGAAACUAGAGAUAGCAAGAUGUGUUUGUGAUACUUCAACUAGAUAAAAGAAGUUCCGUAACUGGUUUGAAAACUUUCUAGACUAGACAGCUACCCAUUGUGUAGCUCUGAUCUCUUCCAGAUUGUAGCUUGGAGGCAGUACUGGGAUGAUGAAGAAAAAAGGGAUUGCAGUGAUGAGUGAUUGAUCCCUUAACCCUUAGCAUCGUGGUAGGUGUUACACUGCAAGAAAAUCCACAGGUAGAAAUGCUAUUCCCUCUCACUUUGCUUAAGGAAAUACAAUUAUAACAAAGUGAUAUCCUGUAAUGAAGACUAUCACCUGUAAGAAAUCCAUUGAGAUAAUAUUGAUGAGCCUAGCAGUAGCUUGUCAAAUCAAUCUUUGUAUAUGUCUCUCAAAAUAUUCUUUGUUUCUUUUUUAGGGAGUUCAGUAACUUGGGAAAGCAGUGAGCUGCUCUAACUGGAGAACACUCUUCUAACCCUAAAGGGGAACUGCUUUGUCUGAGAAUGGGAGAAUUUUUGCAUCAUCAGAACACCACUGAAGUCCUUUGGAUUGACUGUCAGGUUACUUCUGUGCAGAAGAUUCCCAUCAGAGCAUUGAUAUGAAGCAACUAAAUAAGUGCUGUAUGCUUAAUAAUGACUUUGAUCUAAAUUAAAUUCUUUACUCUUCAAUAGUAUGUUGUCAUUUAAAUAUUUUUAAUAUUGGAAGCAUUCUUUUAAGUGAGGAAAAAAGAAGUUGACUGCAUCAGAACAGAAUGCAGUCUUGUGGGAUUUCUGGUACGGAGUCACUGAAGAGGGGAAAUAAAAUAGUAACGGCCCCUGGAUGGAACUGUUUUAUUCCCACCUGACCCUUUUAAUGCUUACCCCAGGAUAUACAUGUAGAGGGAGAGAGAAUGUAACAGAGCCUUAAACUCUGUUCAGUUCAGUAACUCUCAUCAGUUAUUGUGAUGCUGAGAAAUGUAUAUCUUUUUUCAUAAUUCUGCCAGGUCUGUUUCUGAGAUUUCCUUCAUCAUGAGUGUUUUCCUUUGUGUUUAACUUUGUACAUACUUAUUUAGAAACAUAAGUACCUGUGAAAGAAUAGAUAGUGUGGGUGCUUAGAAUGGAACUCCUUUUUUUUUUUUUUUGAGAGUUCUGGUAAUGAAGGUAUAGGAAAAUAAAACAUAAAUUUAUAUACAUACAUAUAUAUAAAUGUAUUUGAACCUGAAGAGGCUGAAAAAUGUGUAUUUAAAAAUGGAGUACAUAUAUUCUUAUGUCUUGCAUUUAGAAGCAUUAAGUGUGUGUUAAAUCUAGAAUUGUGGUAUUUUUAUAUCAGUGCUUGUUUUAAGUGAAACUGAGAUUUCCUUCUGAAUUAGUUGAAUGGUAUUUGAUUGGAAUGUCAUAGAAAUGAGUCAUAAAUCUUUUUAUUUUCCCCCCCCCUAAAGGUGAUGGACUGCUCUGUACUGCUGGACAGCUGCAGUGAUGUAUAGUAGUCUGUUGCUGUAAACAUCCCCGACUGGAAGCUGUAGCAGCUCGAGCUUUCAGUCAGAUGUUUGCUGCACCUGGCUAUACCUGGACAGCACCAGGAGGAAAAGACGUCAUAAAGCUGCGUGUGUAGAUACAUAUCUAGUAGUUUCUAUAGACACACUGAACUGCCUCCAAGUGAGUUAAGUUGAUUUUUAUUAAUAUUGCUAGUAUGAUUGAUGACAAGCUAAUCUGUAACAGGAUGGAGAUACAAAGGUAUUGCAUAUAUGUCACUCAGAACUGAAUUCUCUGCUGCUUCAUAGUAUGAGCUACAGAACUAUGGAAUGUAACAGUAAGUGGUGUUUAAUUUCUUGUACAAAUGUACAUAAACAAAAUUCACCUUAUGAACUAUCUUUUUUUAAUGGCAUCUGUUACUAAACUGUGGAAAAAUGAUUAAAUAUUGUUGAAUACUUAGCAAAUAUUUUAUUUGCUGUGCUUUGCUUUUUCUUUCUGAAAUAUUCCAUGUUCUGCCUCUCCUAUGAGUGGGUGGUGCUCUGAUUGUUUGUAAGCUGGAUAUUAGCCAAGGCCAAAAUAAAGGUUAAAAAAGAUUGCACAGGAUGUAUUUUUGUAGUAAAACAAUGCCAAAUGUGUACAGUUGUUUGUGGUACAGUCAGCUUGCUUUGUACUACCAUUAACAGAGAUUAUUUUUCACAUAAAAAACAACUUUUGAAAGUACUUUUUCAGCAUUCUCUUUGCUAAUUCUUGACUUAAAAUAAUCAGUUCAUUGAGAACAGCUCUCAGCAAAACAACUUCAGUACUUUCCACUUCUCUCAGUGAGGGAUCUAGGAAGUGUGUUCUGCAGAUGUAAUUUCCUGGACCUUGUCUGGGACUUUUCUCCUGUUUCUGUAUAGUUCUUCAUUUGUAAAGGAUAGGAGCAGAAUAGCCUAAAUGAGUGAAUUCUGCUGUUGUUUGAGUAGUAAGUGUUCUUGCAUUACCUUAGCUUUCCAGUCUUCCACCUCUGAAAAUGUUAGCUUCAUAUUCCUUGACAUUCAGAAAGCAAAUUUUAUGUUCAGUUUAUUUGGUAGUAUGGUAAUAUAGAUUAAAAGGGUUAGCUAGAUCUAACUUUGCUGCAGGAAUUCUGUAGAAGAUUAUAUGCAAAGAUGCAGAUACUUAGAAAAAUUUCUCAUUUCUUAAAACUGUGAGGAUUCCUUAGGCCUGGUAAAGAAGACUGCAAGUAUUGCAGAGGCAGUGAUUCUCAAACAUGUCAUUAAUGGCCACCAGUGAACUGAGGGCAGCCAUUCUUCUGGGGCAGGUGUGUGACUGUAAAUACAGAGCUGCUGUGUUGUGGGUCACCUGUCUGCUGGUACAGCAGUGUGUGGUGAUAGAAGGUUCUGAACAUACUGAUAGCACUGCUGCAAUUAUCUAUUUUCAGAAUACUUCACACACAGUACAAUUUCUAUUAAAAAAACAUUUUCUCUUAAGUGUGAUGUUUGGCUUGUGUACAUCUUUAAAUUAGAAAGAGAAACACAAGCAGGAUUUACAAAUCCUAUUUCCUUUUUAAAGGGGGACAGAAGUGGUAGUCACUUUUCCAGAUGUUCUUUGCUGUAAAAGCUUGGCAUUCCAUAGUUUUACGUGCUACUUGAACUUAACAAGAAAUGAAGUGUUGUCUGUUAACAUUCUUUGCUGAAAUGAUCAAAGUAAACGUUAUCUCGUAGUUAAUCUUGUAGUCAUUUUUGUCAGUGCUGUCUUUUCACAUGCUAGCCUUUUCACAUGCUAGAUAAGAGUUAUCAUGUGCAGUUCAUCAGCUCAGUCUUGUGGAAUUUUAUUUAUGUGCUGGUGUCUAAUGCCCAUACUCAAACACAACCAUCAUACUUUUACAUGAAAGCCAACUCAAAUGGUUUGUAAUGAUGGGAAAUAAAUAAACCCACACUGCAUUUUUACAUUGUUUUUUUGUUUGGGGUUUUCUUGCUAAGAGUUUGAAAAGCCAGGAUCUCUACUUUCUGUAUGCGAAAUACAAACUUAUGAACUUCUGAACAUAUCUCAAACAUUUCUGCUUGCAAAUGAAGAAGGUGGAGUCUUUCCAGAUAUUAUAUGUUUACACAAUGAAUUUAAGUUGAAUCACUGAAUUUUAGGAAUGGAAGAAGCAGAUUUGACAUGUCAGCCUAAUCAUCAGCAAAGCUGCUUACCUCACGUUGUUAAUGUGAUGGCUGCAAUUAUUGCUUAUGAUAGAAGGAGACAUAAAUCAAUUCCUAAUGUUUUAUGAUGCACUGACAUCACAGUGGAGGCAGAUACCUAGAGGAGGAAGUUGCUAGUCUAGAGGCUGGCAGUGGAGUUGUGAAUGUGCUGCUGAUUCUGGACAUAUGUCAUGCCUAGCGCAAGUAGAAAUGGACAUGCAGACACUUGGAAGCAGGGUAGAAUACCAUGAUCCCUGCUUGCUGAGUAAGUGGAGUGCUUAUGAAGAUGUGCGUUUAGGGUCUGAAUUAGUUGUCUGUGGUUUUCCUGUUGGUGGUUUUUAUGACCACUUAACAGCAACACAUCAAACUCUUCAGUACCUUCAGGCUGGCCUGCAUGAAGGUCUCCCCUUGUUGUGAACUUGCAGCUGCGUUCACUAGAAAUGUUUGAGCUCAUGGUUUUUUCUUCAUACAAAGAACCAACUGUUAAGUGCUCAGAAGGCUUCCACCAGCCUUUGUGUAUGAAGAAGAAUCUGCAUCUGUGGUUCCUUCUCCCCAGUAAAUGUGCAAAACACCUGCACAGACGAGAUGAGAGCUUUGAGAAGGCUGAUGAAGUUUAUAAAGUGUUUUUUUUUUUCCUGGAUUGCUAAUGUUUUAGUUAUUCAAGGCUUUAGAUGCUAAGUAAGCCGCAUUUAAAAUCUAAAAUAAGUGCUGAAGUUUAAUUGAUAGUGUUCUGUUCUCUCACUAUUAAAAUGACUCAUCUUUCUGAGUAACAAUCUGUGUGGAGAAAACUGAGAAGAUUGAAAUGACAGGGAAAGAACCUUGGAAGCAGUUUUAGAAUGGGAGUUAGUUUAGGAAAAUGUAGUGCAACUACAAGCAAAUGUAGCAAUAAAAGCAGUAAAAUUGAGUGUAUAAAGGAAACUGCUGAAAUUUUUGGUACCACAGGAGCUGAAUUUUUGCACAAACCAUUUGAGAAAGACAUCCUUGAGGACUCUGUCCCAGCUUGUACUACCUUGUUGAUGUCUCAUAUGUAUUUUGGUAUUCAGUAUCAACUCUGAUAAUGAUUUGCGUUUGAGGUUUCUAGAAGAUGCCUACUCUAAGCAUCAAGAGUCUUGGCAGGUAAGUGCAACAGAGAUAUUGAACUCCAUGGGCUGUGGGAAUUGUUUUAUUCUGUGUUCUACCUUGUUAUCUCUAGUAUUAGGGACUGUACAAAUAUAUUACUUGUUCUGAUAUUUACAAGGUUAACUGUUAAAAAACAGUGCUCCAACUUUAUGUCAGUAAGGUUUAAUAACUGCUGUAAAUGCCUUCUGAGUAGCAUAAGCUGUAGCACACACAGUGUAUUGAAAUAUGUCUGUGCCGAUUCAUUUUUUGGAUAUCUUGAAAGCCAAUGCUGUAUUUAUAUUGUUAAGCUAACUUUUAGUUCCUGUAAACAUCCUACACUCAGCUAUAACAAGUGGUAGGGCUGGGGGGUGGAUGUUUACUUCAACUGACUUGGAAAGGCAGCUUUCCUGAAUGAUCAAGUGACAUUUUGGCAAGAACGGAAUGCUAUAUUUCAGUAGUAUUCAAAUAAACUUAUUGUACUCUUCUUUCUGCUGUAUUUCCAUAAAUGUCUUAAUGCAUGAUUAUUGUAAAGCAGUCUUUAACUGCUAUAAUGUGUAGCAUUUUGAUUGCAAAUAAACUGUGAUCCUGUAUCUUUGUCUUGAAAAGUACAUUCUGGUGUCCUCAGCUCACCUAGGAUACACUCUUGACAGGAAAAUACCCAGAAUCUAUUACUGAACAUUCAAUUUGCAGCAGCCAUUUCUUAUUUAUGAUCAGCUUCUUUAGUGUGAGAGGAAGAAUUGAUAUGUUGGAUUAUGGUAAAUAGAAAUAACAACAUGAAAUAUUUAAUUGGUAGAACUAUUUAUAUUUAACUAUUCUGUUAGGUUUGGUAGCUAACAAAAUGAGAAAUGUCUUGCUUUGAUUUGGAAAACUUGGAUAGAAGAACGUGAAAGGAGAUGAUCUUUAGCUUUCCAUUUAACUCGUUUUACAUUAUGUCUUAUGUGAUAGGAUCCCAUUCCUAUUAGUGGUGGAUGUAUUGUUAAAUGAAAUAGAGCUCCAGCAUUUUCAGAACAGGAAAUACUAGAUUUAACUAUUCAAAAAAGAGCUCAAGAAUGGUUUUGUUUAGGCAGAAGAAUGAAGGACAUGGGAUGCAUUGUUGGGAAGUAUAACCUGCUUUCCUGAGGAUCACUUUGAAAAUGUAUUUUCUUUAAUAUUAGGCUGUGACUCCUGAUGCAUGAUGUAUUUCCUUCUUAAGGCAAACAGGUGAAAAUUACCAAGAUUUUUCUCUUUUAAGAUGCAGAAGCAUUUUUUGUUAUAUUUUUUCUUGUAUUUAUUAUGUUUUGCUGUGCUGUGUACUUUUGUUUUCAAGCUGAAGAAGUCUGUUUUAAUCGGAAGUCCUGGGCAGAUCUAAAAAACUAUAUGGCACUGCAAUCAAUUGCAUGCAAGAGUAUGCAUCAAAAGUUCUCUAUUUACACAGAACUUCAUUGUGUGAAUAGUGCAGUAUAAUCACGCACUACUGUGUAUGUGCAUGCAUGGUUUAAAGACUUUUUUUUUUAUGAACCAGUGUCACCUGUUCAAUUGGUGCAGACCUCUGAGUUUUCCAGUUGAGGUGAGCCAGGGAAGCCUUAGGGAUGCGAGUUGUCCUCUUCAGAAGAGAUCCUAUGAUGAAGGGGAAGCUUACUUGCAGAACAAUCUGCAUCUCAUUUUAUUCUCCAGUUAAAUGCCCCAUGGCAUCACUAACUUCAUGGCUAAUGCAGAUGCUUCUUUCCAUCUGGCUGGCAUGACAUGCAGCCAUGCUGAUAUAGCCAUGGCAUAGUGCUGUAGGGUUCGACAGGAAGAAGGAAUCCUCAAAUCAACAUUACCACCAGUCAUAAGGUGCAAAGACUCCUUUCAGCAAGCACCAAUUGUCUGGCAAUAAGAGCUAUUGUGGAGGUAGCGAGUAAGCAGACUGGGUGUGGGUGUGUAUGUGGGGUUUCAGUGGGUUUAAAUGCACUUGAGAUGUAAAAUUCAUGUUACAAAUAGGUACAAAACAGUAGUCUUAGUGGUUUUAUUAGAGGAAAAUCUUUACUUUUUGGCGUAUUACAGGUGAAAUUGGUGAACGACCUGUUGAAAGUUUAAGAUUUAAUAUAUGCUUUUUGGGAGUAUUUUGGAUUUGCAGCAGUCUGAAUUCUGUAGUGGUCUGGGAAACAGCUGAAGCGUAGCUGUUCCUUGGAUAAAUGCAAGAAGUCAGACUUCUAACCUAGAUUACUUCUAAAGAGUCUAAGCAUAACACCACCAAACUUAAAACUUCUGAAGCAUGUUCAUUUUUCAUCCAUUGCAUCGGUGAUUUUUGGACAGAUAAGUCUCAGUCCCAUGGCCCCAGUGAUGGCAUAAAGCAGGGUUGAGUAAAUAGCUGUGUAUGAUUUAUACCAUGGUCCGGAAGUUCUCCUUAGAAAUGGUGGCAAAGGUAAGUUGUGUAGCAUCAGUCACCAAAUUUAUCUCAAAGAACACAGGCACUGUUAAUAUAUUUUUUGUUACUUUUGAAAACAUGCAUUUACUCUUGUAUUUAAUUCUUCCUGUUUUUGUUUUCCUGAUGGUAAAAAUCCAAACUUACUUCAAUAAAAGUACGUUGAUAUCGA
Molecule: non-coding RNA, 11005 nt
Organism: Phasianus colchicus (ring-necked pheasant)
Lineage: Eukaryota; Metazoa; Chordata; Aves; Galliformes; Phasianidae
Source: RefSeq, a predicted model, not a curated record